Molecule: long non-coding RNA, 801 nt
Organism: Zea mays
Lineage: Eukaryota; Viridiplantae; Streptophyta; Magnoliopsida; Poales; Poaceae
Exons: 4
Source: RefSeq, a predicted model, not a curated record
CUUCUGCGCCUAGAUCGACAGCGUUCGGCCGCUGGUGCCCGGCGCCAAGCUCCACGCCGUCAUCGAGCGUGCCACAACGAUUCUGUCCUCGACCUCCCCUUCCUCUGCAACAUGUCCAGGACCGGGAACUGGCAGUGGGAGGAUCACCGUCCACCGUCGGGUGUCUGCAAGGCAAAUCAGAUCAACCACCACAUCGGAGUGAAAAGUCUGGCGCCACUCUGCCUCACAUAGCCAAAAAAUGUAUCAGGUGAUUAAGAACCAUCCCAACUCAUUGAAGCUUUAUGAGCAGAAACUGCUAGGAACGGGUGAAGUCAUGAAAGAAGAUGUCCAGAGGAUCCAUGUCAAGGUGAACCGAAUCUUGAACGAAGAGUUUGCUAAGAGCAAAGACCACGUUCCCAACAAGAGGGAUUGGCUCUAAGCUUACUGGACUGGCUUUAAGUCACCAGAGCAAAUAUCACGUGUUCGCAACACUGGGGUGAAGCCUGAAAUACUGAAACGUGUAGGUCAGGCAAUUACUACACUGCCUGAAAACUUCAAACCACAUAGAGCAAUGAAGAAGAUUUUUGAGCUGCAUGCAGCUACGAUAGAGAGUGGUCAAGGAAUUGAUUGGGCUGUUGCCGAAGCCCUGGCCUUUGCAACACUUAUAGUGGAAGGAAAUCAUGUUAGGCUAAGUGGACAGGAUGUGGAAAGAGGAACUUUCAGCCAUCGGCAUGCAGUUCUGCAUGAUCAUGAAACUGGAGCAAAGUACUGCCCACUUGACCAUGUUGCAAUGAAUCAAAAUGAGGAGCUAUUUACUGUUAG